RNAcentral lists this transfer RNA (72 nucleotides) under Ictidomys tridecemlineatus (thirteen-lined ground squirrel). Its description in RNAcentral is "Spermophilus tridecemlineatus (thirteen-lined ground squirrel) tRNA". It matches the Rfam family "tRNA". Rfam says of the family: Transfer RNA (tRNA) molecules are approximately 80 nucleotides in length. Their secondary structure includes four short double-helical elements and three loops (D, anti-codon, and T loops). Lineage: Eukaryota; Metazoa; Chordata; Mammalia; Rodentia; Sciuridae. The record is from Rfam by way of RNAcentral.
GGGGUUGUAGCUCAGUGGUAGAGAGCUUGCUUGGCAUGUGUGAAGCACUGGGUUCGAUUCUCAGCAACACAU